UAGAAACAUGAGAAACUGUGAGGGGAAAUUUGUCUUAAGGGUUUUAUGUGCUAGGUUUUCACUUUACUCCAAAACAGAAUGCUGCGAACAGUUUCUGCCUUGGCUUGAUGGUGGUUGUGCUGCCAUCUUCUUCACACUUAAACAUAGGGAAAUAAGAGCAGGGUGCUGGAUCAGGCCCAUGGCCCAUCUUGUCCAGUAUCCUGUCCUCACAGCAGCCAACCAGAUGCCUGAAGGAGCACAAGAUCAUAUCUCUCACGUCUCGUGGUCUCCAGCAACUGGUAUUUGGAGCAGUGCUGGCUCCAACUGUGGCGGUUGAGGACAGCCAUCACAACUGGAAGUCAUUGGAAGCCCUCUCUGCCAUGAAAGUGUACAAUCCUUUUUAAAAGCCACUCAAGUUGGUGGCCUCCUGGAGGUGUGAGUUUCAAAGUUUGACUUAGGUGCUGCAUGAAGAAGCACUUUCUUUCACCUCUUCUAAACUUCUAACAAAAGUAGAUUGAUCUCAAUGGGGUUUGGCUGUUGGUCCAGGUUGCCAUUUCUGAGACACUCUGAAUCCUCUGUAUUACUCAAAUUUUAUUCCUUCCACUAUCGACAAUGAACAUAAUAUAUGGAAUUGCAGGACUGAUAGACUUCAAAGUUGAUAUGCUUUCACAGGGGCAAAAGUAAUUCCUUUAUUUUAUUUUAUUUAUUUAAUCCUGUAUUGUGUUUUUAAUAUUUGAUUGGGAGCCGCCCAGGGUGGCUGGGGAAACCCAGCCAGAUGGGCGGGGUAUAAAUAAUAAAUUCUUCUUCUUCUUCUUCUUCCUCCUCCUCCUCCUCCUCUUCUUCUUCGAGGCUUGCCCUGGGCUGUGCCCAUCCGAGACCUUCAGAAAUUUCCCCCAGAAUUUUGAAGUAAGCUAUUUUCUCCUCAUUCUGCUCAAGGCAGCAAAACUGUGGGUAUCUCCAAUCUGUAUUUUUACACAUACCACAGAGCUUUUGAAAAAAAGAUCAAUGAAAUAUAAGAAGGACAAGCACAAUCUGCUUAUCAUCCUGUUUGAAUUGUACCAAACAGGCAUCAACAACAGUUCUAAUAGUUCUAAUGAACAGAAAAUUGUUCCUGGCAAAAAGAAGAUUUUAGUGCUGAAAUGCAUGGUAUUGAAUGGAGGACACUCAGUUCAUAAUCAAACUUUUAUGACUGUGGAUUUAUUUUUGAUAUUGAAUUUAUAUCCUGCCCUUCCUCCCUAGGGAACCCAGGGUGGCAAGCAGAUCCAUAAUUAAAAACAACAAAGCAAAUUGUUCUAACACAGUGAAAACUUUCUAAAAACAGAAACAGUUAAAACCUUCUAAAAGCAUUUACAGUUAAAAGCAGGGGUAGGCAACCUAAGGCCCGUGGGCUGCAUCCGGCCCAAUCACCUUCUCAAUCCGGCCCACGGAUGCUCCGGGAAUCAGCGCGUUUUUACAUGAGUAGAAUGUGUCCUUUUAUUUAAAAUGCAUCUCUGGGUUAUUUGCGGGGCAUAGGAAUUCGUUCAUUUCUCCCCCAAAAAAUAUAGUCCGGCCCCCCACAAGGUCUGAGGGACAGUGGACCGGCCCCCUGCUGAAAAAGGUUGCUGACCCCUGGUUAAGAGCAUAAUUCCAUCUGGUGAUCUUUUAAGUUGCGAGGAACGUUAUUCUUCAGCUACCAAAUACCUGGGUCAACAGGAAUGUUUUCAGGUUCAUCUUGAAAGUUCAUAAUGAUGGAGACAGACAUGGCUCACUAAGGAGAGCAUUCCACAACUGGGGAACCAGUACUGAAAAGGCAGCCCACAGUGGUGUUGCCACUGCCAUUCGUAGGGUCCAAAAUCCUUGGUGAUGGGGAAGGAGAUUUUAGGUCAAACAGCUCUUAGUGUCAGAAAGUUCUUCCUGGUGUUUAGUCAGAAUCUCCUUUCUUGUAAUUUGAAUCAAUUGGUUCAGGUCCUAGCAGGAGGAAGAAAAACUUCCUCCACCUUCCAUGUGAAAACCCUUUAUAUAUUUGAAGAUGGUGAUCAUACCUCUUCUCAGUCUCCUCUGUUCCAAGCUAAGCAUGCCCAGCUCCUUCAACCAUUCCUCAUAAGGCUUGGUUUCCAGACCCUUUAUCACUUUGGUCAUCUUCCUCUGCACAUCUUCCAGCUUGACAAUAUCCAUCUUAAAUUGUGAUGCCCAGAACUGGACUUGGAACUCCAGGUGUGGUCUGGCCAAGGCUAAAUAGAGUGGGACUGUUACUUCCCUUGAUCAGUACACUAGACUUCUGUUGAUGCAGGACUAAUAAUAAUAAUAAUUUAUACCCUGCCCAUCUGGCACUCCCAACAGAAUAUUAAAAACACGAUAAAACAUCGAACAUUAAAAACUUCCCUAUACAGGGCUGCCUUCAGAUGUCUUCUAAAAGUCAGAUAGUUGUUUAUUUCCUUGACAUCUGAUGGGAGAGCGUUCCACAGGGCGGGCGCCACCACCAAGAAGGCCCUCUGCCUGGUUCCCUGUAACCUCAUCUCUUGCAGUGAGAGAACCACCAGAAGGCUCCCUCAGAGCUGGACCUCAGUGUCCAGGCUGAACGAUCGGGGUGGAGACGCUCCUUCAGGUAGGACAGGCUAAUCUGGGCAUAAACAGAAGACACAUGAGACAUCAGUGACAAGGUGGAAUCCAGGAGUACUCCCAAACGAUGAACCUGAUCCUUCACAUAACAGCACAUAUAACAUACAUCUAAUUCCCAGGCAAGGGAGUCACACACUCUUCCAUCAUAUCAGGAUUCAGUCUCAGUUUAUUGGCCCCCAUCCAGUCCACCAGUGCCUCUAGACACCUGUGAAAUUGAAACUGAAAUACUUUAUUGUCACUUGUACAACUUGUAUACAGUGAUAUUACACAAGCACCCCCCACUCAGCUCUCUUAGUCUUAAUUCCCCUCGUUUACUGAUGCACACCCACCAAACCCGAAAGUCAGUUGCCCUGUUGUUAUCUUUUCAUUCAGCAGCCUAACAGCCCACAGAUAGAAGCUGUUCUUUACCCUGUUGGUGUGACUAAUCACGCUUCUAUAUCUUCUGCCUGAGGGCAGGAGAUCAAGAAAGUGCUGGCCAGGGUGUGAAUCAUCCCUGAGAAUUUUCCUCACUCUCCUGAGGCAAUGUUCUUCCUCGAUGUCAUCCAGCAGAUUCACGGGACAGCCCAUAAUAUCUUGUGCUGUAUUCACCCCCCUCUGUAGGCACUUCCUAUCAGUUGAUGUCAAACCAGCGUACCACACCGUGAUGCAGUAUGAAAGGACAUUUUCUCUUGUGGACCGGUAGAAGGAGAUCAUCAAAUGUUGAUUGACAUUGUUCUUUCGCAAUACUCUGAGGAGAUGAAGUCUCUGUUGGGCUUUCUUAAGCCCCUGGGUUGUAUUGAUUUUCCAAGUAAGGUCUUCACUGAGGUAAACUCCUAGAAAUUUAAAGGAAGAGACUCUCUCCACAUCCUUCCCCGAUGUACAGCGGGGCUAGUUCUCCUCUCUUCCUCCAAAAGUCCAGCACCAUCUCCUUUGUCUUGCUGAUAUUAAGGUGCAAGUUGUUCCCUAGGCACCAUGUAGAUAGAGACAUCUCCAUGGCCUCUCCUGAUUCCAGUGAAGCUGUGUGCCAUCAACAUACUGAUAAAUUGCAGUUACUCCAUUAAUGCUGGCGGCUGUGUUUAGUAGUCAGACGUCACAUUUAAAUUUGGGUUGGGGUUUUUUUUUGUUUGUUUGUUGUUUCUUUGCACUUCGCCCAUCUAUAAUUUAAAUGUAAAACGGAGGGUGGCUAGAAUGUGCUUUUGAUUCCUCAACGGCGCUCUUCCACUUUCCAAACUAAAUUACAUUCUUUUUAAACAUAUUCCAAGUCAUAAGUGGCGGGGGGGGGGGGGGAAUGACAAGGAGUUUCCAACAUGAAACGUGUCAUCCGGAACAGAAAAUGGGAGAGAGCCAUUGAGAAAUCAAAUGUACAUUCAAGCCAACAUCAGUUUUGCAUUUAAAUUAUAGAUGUAAGAAGUGCAGAAACAAAACAGGAUUGAAUUUAAGUGUGGCAUCUGACUAUUGCCUUCAAGUGUAAUAAAUAAUUUUUCAGAGCUGUCAAACAAAUUGCAUUUGCAACAAUCUGAACAAACCACUGAACGAAUGAAAAGCACAAUCAAGAUGUAUUGAACCAGUAAAUGGGGAGCAGCCGCUUCCAUCACCUUAAAACAACAGUCUGCUACAUUUAAACAUGGCAAAUAUUAAAAAUUUGGCAUGAUUUUUUUAAAAAAAACUGUCAACAUUUUAAAUGGAGGUUGUUGAUAGUAUUUUUCAUGGGAAUCUGGUUAGCCACUGUGGGCAUGGGAAGCUGGGCUUUUAGUCAGAUCCAACAAGUAGGGGGGGACGCCGGAAUGCGGGUGGCGCUGUGGGUUAAACCACAGAGCCUAGGACUUGCUGAUCAGAAGGUCGGUGGUUCGAAUCCCAGUGAUGGAGUGAGCUCCCGUUGCUCAGUCCCUGCUCCUGCCAACCUAGCAGUUCAAAAGCACGUCAAAGUGCAAGUAGAUAAAUAGGUACUGCUCCGGUGGGAAGGUAAAUGGCGUUUCCGUGCACUGCUCUGGUUUGCCAGAAGAGGCUUAGUCAUGCUGGCCACAUGACCUGGAAGCUGUACGCCGGCUCCCUCGGCCAAUAAAGCGAGAUGAGCGCGGCAACCCCAGAGUCGGCCACGACUGGACCUAAUGGUCAGGGGUCCCUUUACCUUUACUUUAACAAGUAGGGGUACCAAGAAAAGUCUCCAGUAUUGUGCAUGUGGUUUGCACCCUCCAACCCAUUUGCAAAUGGGGAUACCAAUUUGCAUAAAUUUGCAUAUGAUUUGUAUCAUAUGCAAAAUUUAUCAUUAUUUUUUAAGUGGUAUGGGGGGGGGCUCAAAAUAAAUCAGUGGCCACACAUGUAAUAAAAUGUCUAACAGAUAGAAUGAGAACCAAUGAAGUUUCCCCCCUCAGUGCAUUUCUAUACAAUCCUGCAUUUGCCACAGCAGAGGUCAGGUGGGGCGGGGCUCUUUAAUGUGCACCUGCACUUGUUGUGUAGAAAAUAACUGCAGAAAAUAACUUACCAGAGUACCUAAUCUCAGGGGAAUCCACCACAGGAAAGAUGUAUCAUGACUGCUAGGGAAAAAAGGAAGGGCAAACUUUGGAGAUUCCAAGGACUAGAAAAUGAGACAGAAGCAGGAAAAAAACAGCAGCUCUUUAGGAUUCAUGUCACCUGCUGUCUAAAUGGCACACUUGUCAACUUUGACUUCACUCAUGAGGUAAAAACACACACACAUGGGAGCAGCCAGACUGGCUCAUUUCACAGAAAUUGCUUAGGAAGGGUUCCUGCACAUUUUGCUUCGUAACUUUUUUUCUAGGAGGCCAACCUACCUUUUCUAAAUAAAUAAAUAAAAAUUUUAAAAGCUCUGUAUCGUGCUCAGGUGCAGAUGGCUCUGUUUUUUUGUUCCGGCGACUCGUGUUCGGGCAAAAAAAAGCUCAACAAGUUUGUGGGUCAACAACUGUCUGGAUUUUUACUUCUUGAAAUAUGACAGCCCUAAAUAGCCUUACUGUCAUGCUUCUUUGAAUCUAAAUUGCUGCUCAGCAGCUGGAUGUUUCCAAAACAUGCGCGCUCUCUCGCUCUCUCUCUCUCUCUCUCUCUCUCUCUCUUUCUAGCAUUCUGCCUUUUUUCAAUACAUGCCAGGCCAAUACAUUGCCAUCCUUUUUUCCUUUUAUGUGUGUCCAUCACUUGCUGCGUCAUUCACUGCUCCUCUAAUAUGAUGUGAUGCACACCAGGCUUUAUUGAAUCCCUGCUGAAGGUUUGAUUUGCAUAUACCUAAGCUGUGAGGAAAAAUGAGGCAAAAUGACUGGCAGCACACCCUGGCAAAGGCUGGGCAUUUUGCCUGGCCAUUGAUACUGGCCAAGGGUCCCAUCAUGUAAAUGCUGUCACUUGUACUUUGUAGUCGAGGGUGAGAAAGGAGACAGUCCUCCCAUGCUGUGUCUGACAGUCCCAGCAGCCUUGGUCAAAAAAGGUAAACGACCCUGUUCCACAUACUCCAUAUAUGCCAAAGGAAGAUGCCUCACAGUUUGCCAAAUGAAUUGUCAGUUCUCUGUAAGUUCACAUUACCAGCAAAGUUGUUGUUUUUCUGGUGUGUUUUGCAGCUCUUCCCCACGUCCCAUGGCUUCAAUUCAAUUCAUCCCACAUACACCCGUCAGGAAGAUAUUGGGCAUCACAUGGCUGGACAAAGUCUCAAACAAAGAUGUGCUCUCUCCCAAGCCAACAUUCCCACUCCUGUCUCAUUGACGUCUACCUUGGCUUGGUCAUGUCCACAGGAUGGAAGAUGUCAGCAUCCCCAAGGGAGAUGGCUUCAGGCUCUGCAUUACAAAGAUAUCUGUAAACAUGAUGGCUGGCAACAUCAACCCCUCUGUUUGGAAACCCCUUACAAGAUGACCACAGUGGCUGGAGAAAGUCAGGUCGUGUAUCCAUCGCAGGGACCAGAGGAGGAAUGACAGCAGCACAACAGAAUGCCUUCAUCUGAUCCAGGGGCAACACAACACAUCUCUCCUGUAUCAACACAACAUGUCUCUCCCGUAUCAGUCUUAACAGCCACAGCAGGCGCUGCAACUCUCCGAAGGUUUGACUUCACCUCCAAAGCCACACUCUUCCAUUGUCUCCCAAGAGAGACGAGUGCCAGUCAUCAUACACCAGGAGGCAUUGACAGGCAGGGGUGUGUUUCCCCAAUGCAAAGGUGUUCACACCUUGGCUAGAGACAAAUUAGGAAUGGUUUUUGGACUCCAGUGGACACGAAGCUGGUUUGAGGAGCAACACAUCAAACAGUGGUAACAAAGCACAGGGUACAUAUGCAUUUUGGAUAACAUCAUGUGAAACAGUAUGAGUGCACAUUAAACGGG
Molecule: long non-coding RNA, 6863 nt
Filed under: Podarcis lilfordi (Lilford's wall lizard)
Lineage: Eukaryota; Metazoa; Chordata; Lepidosauria; Squamata; Lacertidae
Source: RNAcentral